This 250-nucleotide ribosomal RNA is filed under the name uncultured bacterium. RNAcentral describes it as "partial 16S ribosomal RNA". It matches the Rfam family "Bacterial small subunit ribosomal RNA", at positions 15 to 224 of the family's 1533-position model. The record is from RNAcentral.
GAUCAUGGCUCAGGAUUAACGCUGGCGGCGUGCCUAACACAUGCAAGUCGAGCGGCAGCGAGUUUUACACUGAAUUCUGGAAGCUUCUGGUUUGAAGAGAAGAUUUAUUCAAGAAUUUUGUGUAAAAUGUCGGCGAGCGGCGGACGGCUGAGUAACGCGUGGGAACGUACCCCAAAGUGAGGGAUAACGCAUCGAAAGGUGUGCUAAUACCGCAUAUGGUCUUCGGAUUAAAGCCUUCGGGCGCUUUGGG